This 247-nucleotide ribosomal RNA is filed under the name uncultured bacterium. Its description in RNAcentral is "partial 16S ribosomal RNA". It matches the Rfam family "Bacterial small subunit ribosomal RNA", at positions 524 to 769 of the family's 1533-position model. The record is from RNAcentral.
UACGUAGGGAGCAAGCGUUGUCCGGAAUCAUUGGGCGUAAAGCGCGCGUAGGUGGCUUCGUAAGUCCGUUGUGAAAGUCAAAGGCUCAACCUUUGAAAGCCGAUGGAUACUGUGGAGCUAGAGUACGGAAGAGGCGAGUGGAAUUCCUGGUGUAGCGGUGGAAUGCGCAGAUAUCAGGAGGAACACCAAUAGCGAAGGCAGCUCGCUGGGACGUUAACUGACACUGAGGCGCGAAAGCGUGGGGAGC